RNAcentral lists this ribosomal RNA (497 nucleotides) under uncultured bacterium. Its description in RNAcentral is "partial 16S ribosomal RNA". It matches the Rfam family "Bacterial small subunit ribosomal RNA", at positions 28 to 507 of the family's 1533-position model. The record is from RNAcentral.
GAUGAACGCUGGCGGCGUGCCUAAUACAUGCAAGUCGAGCGAACAGAUGAGGAGCUUGCUCCUCUGACGUUAGCGGCGGACGGGUGAGUAACACGUGGAUAACCUACCUAUAAGACUGGGAUAACUUCGGGAAACCGGAGCUAAUACUGGAUAAUAUAUUGAACCGCAUGGUUCAAUAGUGAAAGACGGUUUUGCUGUCACUUAUAGAUGGAUCCGCGCCGCAUUAGCUAGUUGGUAAGGUAACGGCUUACCAAGGCAACGAUGCGUAGCCGACCUGAGAGGGUGAUCGGCCACACUGGAACUGAGACACGGUCCAGACUCCUACGGGAGGCAGCAGUAGGGAAUCUUCCGCAAUGGGCGAAAGCCUGACGGAGCAACGCCGCGUGAGUGAUGAAGGUCUUCGGAUCGUAAAACUCUGUUAUUAGGGAAGAACAAAUGUGUAAGUAACUAUGCACGUCUUGACGGUACCUAAUCAGAAAGCCACGGCUAACUACGUG